Molecule: long non-coding RNA, 1775 nt
Organism: Melopsittacus undulatus (budgerigar)
Lineage: Eukaryota; Metazoa; Chordata; Aves; Psittaciformes; Psittaculidae
Exons: 4
Source: RefSeq, a predicted model, not a curated record
UUGCCAUGGAGUAAAAGAUUUACCUCACUAUGAACUGCGUGCCAGUUACAAUGAAGAUCUACAUUGUCAGGAUGGAUUAAAAACUAAUGGCCCAUUUAGUGUGUUGUACAAAUUUCUCCCAAAAUAAUAGCAGUGGGAUUGCCUGAUGUGCAAAUAGGGCCAUUGUCCUUGCUUGCUAAACCCCACUUCCUUACAGGUGCUGCCAGGAAAAUAUAAACAAAUGGAUGAGACUUCAGACUGACAGCCAGAGACAAAGGCUGCUGUGAGAGGCACAAGGGUUCAGGUAGGACAGCUAUCCUGUGGUUGUUUCUUCAGGCUUUCUGUGGAAAUGGGAGCUACAGAAAUACAUCACUGUAAGGGAAAUGCGGAAUACAGACAAAGUCACACCACUGCAGAAAAUUUUAUUGUAAUACAGAGCUGCUCAAACGCUGAACUAUAGUUAGGACCUCAGCACGGAGAACAAAAAUGAAAGCAGAAGCAUGCUGCCUCCGAGGGGCUUGCCAAAUAAUCUUCUGGUUCAACCUGAAAGGGAGGAUCUUGCUGCGUAGGAGCUGGAUACAGGGAGGACAAACAAAGAUGAAAUGUGCUCCACAUUCAGUGUCUUCGCAUGUGGGGAGUCCUUGAGGUGGAGAUCUCCAAGCCUCUAUAUGCAAUAACAUAGUGCCCCCUGUUGGGAAGCUGUUCCUGUCUCCUGGCUGUGUUCAGUUACUGAUGGCAAAUCACCCUGGACCCUUCACUAGUUCAAACACUAAUCUUUGGGAAGAGAGAGUGCUGGAAGCCUGAUUAAGAAGCUGUGGGGCCAUUUAUCAGCUGUGCUUAUGUGUGGGUCAUGGCAAGCUCUGGUCAGGAGGAGCAGAAGAUGUUUUGUGUACAAAAUGUGCCUUUUAGAAUUAUUUACAGUGAAAUUAAUUGUAAGAAUGAAUAAGGUCAUUGGUAUUUAAUCUGAGGUAGAGUUGUGAAACUUCAGAUGACUGUGCAGGAGUUUUAGGUUGCUGUGAUGACAUGUUUCAUCCAGGGCUAAGCAGCUCUUCUAGGCAAAACAUGUCUUUGUGGUUACACCUUUUCUUGUAUUUCUUCUUGCUUAUGUAGAAAACCUGUAUGUGUAAUAAUUUGAAAAAUUGAAAGACUUUUAAAAUUUCAUAUAAAAUGCUUGCUUUAUAAGAUUUCUCAGUGAAAAUAUAAGUAUUUGAUUAUAAAUACAAAUGUAUAAAUGUGUAAUUACAAAACAAUGUAAUGGUCCAUUCUCAAUUGUUUUAUUUCUGUAAGAGGAAGGAGUAUUCUGAACGGAGUUUUGUGGUGGCCGAGUUUACAGUAAUGUUUAUUAUGUGCAACAUUUUGGUUUAUACUGCAGGGCAGGGGCAGGAACACUUCUAUUUUUAAUGUUGUGGUUUAAUGCUAUGGAUAAUUCACAAUGCUUUCUUUUUGUAUUUUUCUCAGUUGCUUGUGCCUAAUGCAUUCAUGUUAUGAAAUACAUGUAUUGUGGUGGGAUGAGACCUUUGCAGCAUGAAAUAGGUCAUAAGUAUUUUAUAUCAGACCUCUAGAUUUGAUAAAAAUCUUAGAUCAGGUGUUAACCCGCAAUGGUAAUAAUAUAUAACAUACAAAGCUGAGCUUUCACUCCUUCUAUCAACUGUAUAAUUACAGUUUUCUUAAGAGUUUCUUGCUUUCAGAAAAAAAAUAUACCUGUUGUUUAUUUGCAAAGGAAAAUGUGAGAUUUAUGAAUGAAAAAGAUCAUAAUAAAGAAUGGGAAACAGACCCAAAUGCACCGUGCAACCUAA